UCCGUCGCCAACCUGCUGCGCCCCAGAUCCCUCGUCGCCGGAUGCGCGUCCGCCAACCUCUCUCCCGCCCCAUUCACCAUACUCGCUGGGUUGCCGAACAAGGAACAGCCGCCGCCGGGAUAUGGCCGUCAACUUCGCCUCUACCUCCGGAGGGUCGCCGUAAAAGUACCUGCUAAUGUCGUAAAUCGAUCGCCAUCGCAUCCUUCUAUGAGUGCCGCCCCUUUCCAUCCAGGUACCACCCUUCCAGAUCCAUUUUUUUCUUCUUAUUUUCCCUUCUUUAGGAUUUGUUUCCAUUUCCUGAUUAAUUUCAUAUGUGAGUACCCCCGACUCUAAUCACCAGAAAAUAACGAGAAUGGUCUCCUUCCUCAUUUGCUGGGUACUGGUAGAAGAAAAUGGCUCUAUACAGACAUUGGUCUUGAAUAGGCCAAGGUUACAGGACUCCUAAAAAAUCACUUCUUCAGAGGAGGGAAACAAAGUUGGACUGUUAAUUGUAAAGUAGGAGCAAAAUUCAAGAUUCGAGAUCUACGAGAGAUGCAAGAGCUUUUGUUCUAAUCAAGGGACCAAUGAUCCGUUGCAUGGAAAUUACACGGAAUAGGAUCAGCACAACAAGGAGGCUGCAGCAGGACGUUAAGGUUAUCAAUAAAGGCAAGAAAUUCUACUUAUUCU
Long non-coding RNA from Triticum dicoccoides, 666 nucleotides. RefSeq lists it as uncharacterized. Lineage: Eukaryota; Viridiplantae; Streptophyta; Magnoliopsida; Poales; Poaceae. The transcript has 4 exons. The record is from RefSeq and is a predicted model, not a curated record.